This 458-nucleotide ribosomal RNA is filed under the name Porphyromonas endodontalis. RNAcentral describes it as "bacterial SSU rRNA". It matches the Rfam family "Bacterial small subunit ribosomal RNA", at positions 28 to 474 of the family's 1533-position model. The record is from RNAcentral. Lineage: Bacteria; Pseudomonadati; Bacteroidota; Bacteroidia; Bacteroidales; Porphyromonadaceae.
GAUGAACGCUAGCGAUAGGCUUAACACAUGCAAGUCGAGGGGCAGCAUUAUUUUAGCUUGCUAAGAUAGAUGGCGACCGGCGCACGGGUGCGUAACGCGUAUGCAACCUGCCUGUAAUUAGGGAAUAACCCGGUGAAAGUCGGACUAAUACCCUAUAUUCUUCUUUUUCCGCAUGGGGAAAGACGGAAAGAUUUAUUGAUUACAGAUGGGCAUGCGUCCCAUUAGCUCGUUGGUAAGGUAACGGCUUACCAAGGCAACGAUGGGUAGGGGGACUGAGAGGUUGACCCCCCACACUGGUACUGAGACACGGACCAGACUCCUACGGGAGGCAGCAGUGAGGAAUAUUGGUCAAUGGGCGAGAGCCUGAACCAGCCAAGUCGCGUGAAGGACGACGGUUCUAUGGAUUGUAAACUUCUUUUGUAGAGGAAUAAUGGCAGCUACGCGUAGCUGAGAUGCAU